AAGGAGUGAACUAAGUUUCCAAACAGCGAAAAUCAUGAAAUACUUCAGACAAUGGUUUUUCCUACAACUACAGUGUUUCCUGAUUGGCAGUUUAGUUGGCCCUGUUGGCAGAGCACCGAGGCCUCAAGACUUCUCUUACACUGCCUGAUCAGUUGCCUCAACCUGCAAUCCAGUCACACCCAAAUAUGGUCCAGACACGACAUGCCCCAGAUCCACCAGUCGCUGCUGCAUCUCAGAACACAGCGACAGCAAAUCGUCCCAGAAAGCAAGCGACCCUGCAUGUGCCCAAGUAUGCCCCAUAAGAGGCACCAUCUGUCCUGUUUUCAUGACUUUAGCAAAGACCUGACCAGCCAAGACCUGACCAGCCAAGUCAGGAGUGGAGGCACUAAAAAUAGCCACAAUUCCACAAUAUCAGUGGGUUAAGGACAUUGAAAAAUGAGUGGGCAUGUCGAGUCAUUCCGCUGCUGUCAUGGAGGGCAGUGGAGACCAACACCAUGAAGGACAAGGAGAGAGUCCGCUGCUACACAGACCUGCAAGAUUGCUGACCAAAUUCGACAUGUCCCCAGAGAUGUAUGGACAGCCGUUCUAAUCCAUAACCGUACCAACUGCCAAGAACCCCUCCAAGACCUAUACCACCGCAUUGAGGGUCUCGAACAGCACUGGAUUCAGCCAUAGAAGGAUACGAAGGAGGAGGUUUGAGAGGCCAGCAACUUGUAGCAGAUACUCCCUUUGGAGGUAAUGGCCUUUGAGAAGGAGCAUGAUCCAGCGGAGGGGCAUGCCACUGCCAAGCUGGCUCUAUAGCACCCUUAUGUUUGCAGAGGAGGACCAAUGAAAUGCUCCAACCACCCCAGCCCUUCUUCUAUAGACAACGCGGCACCUCAGUGAGCAAGACCACGCCCUACGACGGUGCGGUUGAAAGAUUGAACCAGAAGCGUGAGAAGAUGCUGCAGACGUUUGUGGAUGACACUGACUCCUUUUCCCUGUCCUCCGCCACGAGCCCCCUGUCCGUCACCUUCAAGGUAGGAAACCAGGCGGUGCUUCCCUGCAGCUGGAAGCAGCGCCUGGGGGAGGUGGCGCCCUCCACCUGCUACAUCCAGUGGAGCAGCCCUGCCGACACCGUAUUUGAGCUGCAGGGGGAUAAGAAGUGGCAGGCGGAAGAGUUUCAGGGCCGGAUGGAGGUUCCAGAGGAGAAGCUGAAGUCCGGGGACUGCUCUCUGGUCAUCAGUGACGUACAGAUUGGAGACACGGGGAGAUACGAGAGCUUCAUGGUGGUGGAUGGAGUGAGGUCCGCCAAAACCAAGGUCUUCAUUCAGAGUGUCAAGCUGUCUGUAUCCGACUAUAAAUCCAUUCUGUCUCGAGGUCCAGGUGAGGAUUUAGUUCUGGAUCUGUACACCCAACACUCUGUGAAGGUAGUGUUCCAGGGCAGGAACAGCUCAGAGUGGUCGGUUGUGUGGAUGAGGGGGGAGGAGGACAGUGAACGAAUGGAGCAAGAUGUGGCAAAUGAGCAGCUGACAAUAAAGAACUUAAAGAGCUCGGACGAAGGAAUGUACAAAGUUAUGGACGAGCAGGGCCUCGGUGUCAGCACCGUGCUGCUGUCUGUUAACGCUUCUGAAAUGCGCAACCAUAUAAAUUAAGUUCUGAUACAACUAAACUCCAUUCUCUGCCGGUUUCGAGGGAAACAGAUCUUUUCUCCUGGAUUACGAACACAGUUUUAAUCAGGGAGAGCAAUCUGUGGCCCCUCGAAACCUAAUGGAGAAGGCAGUUUGGUUGUUUAAGAACGUGAUUUUUAGGAGACCAGGCUGGAAUGUGAGGAUUUUCUCCUUCAGGAAACACAGAUCCUUCUACUGGUCUCCAGUAACUCUUGUGUUCUCCUCAACCCGCCCCCCCCCACCCAGCUGCACACCUGUUCACGCUUCCUUACUUGCCUUGUAUAUAUCCACGUAUUCCCAUGCAUAUGUUUGGACCCCUGCUCUCCUUUUUUGACUCCUCCCCUGCUUUCUAGCUGGAUAUGUUUAUUUAGUAGGGCUGGGUAUCCUUUUGAAAGAUACAAUACCGGUAUCUUUAAAGUUGUAAUACCAAUAAAUCGAUGAAUUCGUUUUUGGUCCGAUGCCCGAAAUGAGCUCUGUGGUUAACGCAAGCUAUAGAGAUUUUCAUUUUAUGUUUUAUGUCAGUAAAUACCCCGCUGGUGAAUGUUUGAUGCUCCUAUGUGUCUUACAAAUGGUGGUUGCUAACAAGUAGCUAAAGGAGACUACUACUAACUAAAGAUUAGCCGCCUUUAGUUUAGCGGUGGUGUCAUUAAGUCAUUUGACGCUCAGGUAGAUGGUUUAUAGCCUAACAUUAGCUUUACAUUUCCGGAAAUUGCAUUACUUCAACUAUUCUAAAAGUGGUGUUAAUAUGUGGAGAUUAUCUUGCUGAACAAAAUGUAUUAGUACCAUGAAGGUUUGUUAGCCACAGAUCGUAUUUUCUACAAUAAUCCAAAAUCCAACGGUAAAUCCCCUUGCUAAUUGUCGAGGGAGCCCUUGCUAUGCUAACUAACGGGUUGCUCUAAAAAGUACAUCAUACCUGCACCACUCGUCACUGCAACCACAUUGCAUACCCGUCAUGUUAAUGGGAGCAUCCAGUUGGGCAAAAUGCCAUUACUAUUCCUCCCAAAUUCAAAGGAUCUUUAUUAGAAUACAAUGUUCAAAUGAUUUAAAGAAUUAUACAAAUGAUUAUACCCCACACCCCGGACUGUGGGUGCUGCUGCAGUAAUGGGUGAAUAAAGCGUGGGCACAUGAGGGUUAAUGCAGAUAUUGUUUGACUUGAGAUGUUUAAAGUCAUUUUAUCCCACCUGCAUUAUUUCAUUCAGAUAUCAAAACUGAUAGCCCUUUUUGACUCAAAGUUCCUAACUUCACCGUUGGGUUUUUGCAAUGCUGUUCUGCAGUAAUGUCCAUUCCAGCUUCUCUAAAUCCAAGAUGAUGUCUCUAAAUAUUCUCUUGUCAUUUCAAAACUGUCACGCCUCUGUCUCUGUCCUUUUUUCUGCAUCAAAUGUUUCUUUCAUACAAAUUUUAAAUGAAUUUCCAUCUCUAUCCCAUGAAACUGAUUUUAAUGUUAUGUGUUUUGACAGAAGGCUCCAAAGCUGUCAAACUCGCCCAGACAAUGGACAAUCAAGUACCAACAGAUGGUGCUGUCAGAGGCAGCUGUUCGGCUCUUCUUCUCUUGUCUGUUCUUGUCACAGUUUUCCAAAUUCUUCAUCUUUUCUAAGAAACUUCCCUCUACAAAAUAACUGCACCUAUAUCAAAAGACUAUGCACUAUAGCCAGCAAACAAUGUAUGUUCUGUUUUUACUAGAUAUUAUCGUAGUGUUUCUGAACUUUAACCUAAAAGCUAAUGAGCUAGAUUGGACGUUUGUUGGAUUGCAGUGAAUUUAAGUUAAGUUUGUAUUUGUCUUCAACAGGCUGACUAAAUCCAAUGUGGUAUCAAAUGUUGGAACAAAACGUGUUUUAAAAUAAUUUGGAGUCAUGCUCUAUGUUAAUAACAAUCCAAAGCUACAGUGGCCGACACAGGCACACGUGCUACAACGGCCUUAAACACUUGUGUUAGAACAAACGCCUUGCAAUUUUCAAAAAUGAUGCAAAAAAUUACAAAUGUGCCGAAACACAUGCAAAUGAAUAAAUAUAUCUUCACCAACUUGACAACAGAUGUGCGGCAUUGAGAAAAUAUUCACCAACUUGAGGAAACAUGUGCAGGGUUUACUAAAUGUGCUGCAUAAAGGAAGCGCUGCAACACAACGGAAACCAGGGGACACUCAAAAGUGACGCACACAGCUGGGACCGGAGCGCUUGGUGACGUUCGUGGAUUGUAAAAUUGGCCAAAGUUGGCCAAAUGUCCUAAAAUGUUUUAUCGGCUUAUUUUAUCAAAUGUGAUAUCAUGAUUCUGCUGAUAUUAUUGCAGAUCUGCUGUGAGCUAGCUAGCUAUGGUAGCUAACUUAGUCAUUUCAAAUAUACUUAAAAGAACACUUACAGUAAUGAAACAGACUAACUCUGCAAACAGAGACAGUUGUCCAACUUUAUAAUCCUGAACGUCACCAAGCGCUCCAGUCCCACCUGUGUGCGUCACUUUUUAGUGUCCCCUGGUUUCCGGUGUGUUUUGAGCUUCUUGCAGCGUUUCGUUUAUGCAGCGCUUCCGGUAAAUGCUGCACACGUUUUGUCAGGUUGGUGAAUGUUUUCUAAACGCUGCGCAUGUGUUGUCAAGUUUGUGAAGAUGUUUCUUCAUUUGCAUGUGUUUUGGAACAUCUGUGGUUUUAUAUUUGCAUUGUUUUUGAAAGUGCAGCGCCUUUCUCCUAAUGGAAGUAAAGUAUGUAUGAAGUAUAACAAUUUCUCAAAUCAGAGGUUCAAGUGAAAAAAUUGUGAAAAUGUUUGGGGAAUAAUACAACACAAGACUGUUUAUGCAUGUAUAUGGGAUGUAUGUUUGUGUGUGUAUGUACAUAUGUGCUUGCAUUUGUAUCUAAUAAGAACUUUUUUUGUUGUAAAUACAGAUUAAUUUCUAUAAAGAUUGAGUCACCUGUUUGUGUGAUAUUUGUAUUUAUGUAUUUAGCCCCCAGUGUUGAAAUUCAUUGAGUUCAUGAAUAAAUAAAAAUAAAGCCAUCCAACACAA
RNA transcript from Trematomus bernacchii (emerald rockcod), 4634 nucleotides. It is a transcript of the gene named galectin 17, with no coding region annotated. The record is from RefSeq and is a predicted model, not a curated record. The transcript has 9 exons. Lineage: Eukaryota; Metazoa; Chordata; Actinopteri; Perciformes; Nototheniidae.